Molecule: transfer RNA, 24 nt
Filed under: Dicranum angustum
Lineage: Eukaryota; Viridiplantae; Streptophyta; Bryopsida; Dicranales; Dicranaceae
Description: partial tRNA-Thr
Source: RNAcentral
UCGGUUCGGCUCCGAUAGCGGGCU